AGAGUGCGUAAUAGCUCACUAGUCGAGUGACACUGCGCCGAAAAUGUACCGGGGCUAAACAUAUUACCGAAGCUGUGGAUUGUCCUUUGGACAAUGGUAGGAGAGCGUUCUAAGGGCGUUGAAGCAUGAUCGUAAGGACAUGUGAAGCGCUUAGAAGUGAGAAUGCCGGUGUGAGUAGCGAAAGACGGGUGAGAAUCCCGUCCACCGAUUGACUAAGGUUUCCAGAGGAAGGCUCGUCCGCUCUGGGUUAGUCGGGUCCUAAGCUGAGGCCGACAGGCGUAGGCGAUGG
RNAcentral lists this ribosomal RNA (289 nucleotides) under Staphylococcus aureus. Its description in RNAcentral is "partial 23S ribosomal RNA". It matches the Rfam family "Bacterial large subunit ribosomal RNA", at positions 1127 to 1421 of the family's 2925-position model. Lineage: Bacteria; Bacillati; Bacillota; Bacilli; Caryophanales; Staphylococcaceae. The record is from RNAcentral.